CGGACAGCAAUAUAGAAGGUCAGGCUGAAGACCUUACCCGAUUAGCUGAGAGGUGGUGCAUGGCCGUCGUCAGUUCGUACUGUGAAGCAUCCUGUUAAGUCAGGCAACGAGCGAGACCCACGUCCACAGUUGCCAGCAUACCCUCCGGGGUGAUGGGUACACUGUGGAGACCGCCGCUGCUAAAGCGGAGGAAGGAGUGGGCAACGGUAGGUCAGUAUGCCCCGAAUCUCCCGGGCUACACGCGGGCUACAAUGGUUGGUACAAUGGGCAUCUACCCCGAAAGGGGAAGGAAAUCUCUUAAAGCCAAUCGUAGUUCGGAUUGAGGGCUGCAACUCGCCCUCAUGAAGCUGGAAUCCGUAGUAAUCGCGUUUCAACAGAACGCGGUGAAUACGUCCCUGCUCCUU
This 404-nucleotide ribosomal RNA is filed under the name uncultured Methanosaeta sp. RNAcentral's name for it is "bacterial SSU rRNA". It matches the Rfam family "Archaeal small subunit ribosomal RNA", at positions 936 to 1338 of the family's 1478-position model. The record is from RNAcentral. Lineage: Archaea; Methanobacteriati; Methanobacteriota; Methanomicrobia; Methanotrichales; Methanotrichaceae.